UGAAGAACUCUCAUGUUCAGAGAAUGAAGGUUGCGGAGAUGAGGAUGCUCAGGUGGAUGUGCGGGCUCACCAGGUUAGAUAAGAUUAAAAAUAAAGUUAUUCGAGAUAAGGUGGGGGCCCGGUGGAUGAGAAGAUGCGAGAAGCGAGGCUGAGGUGGUUUGGACAUGUGCGGAGGAGAAGCCUUGAUACCCCCGUGAGGAGUUGUGAGCGGCUGGCGAUUGUCGGCGUUCGGCGAGGCAGAGGGAGGCCUAAGAAGUAUUGGGGAGAGGUGAUUAGGCAUGACAUGGCUAGAAUGCGGGCUUCCGAGGACAUGACCCUUGAUAGGAAAAUCUGGAGGUCUAGUAUUAGGGUUGUAGGAUAGGGCUCCUAGAGUUUUUGAUACUCCUCACCCGGGCUUGGGUGAGCCUUGGUAGGGCUAUCCAUAGAUGGUAUGUGUUUUGGUUUGUGUCUCCCUUAUGGUAGUUAUUUAUGGUAGUUACUGUAUGAUACUAUUGC
This 495-nucleotide long non-coding RNA is filed under the name Nicotiana benthamiana. Its description in RNAcentral is "long non-coding RNA (NBEN_LNC015423)". The record is from RNAcentral. Lineage: Eukaryota; Viridiplantae; Streptophyta; Magnoliopsida; Solanales; Solanaceae.